This 72-nucleotide transfer RNA is filed under the name Porphyra umbilicalis (laver). Its description in RNAcentral is "tRNA-Cys". It matches the Rfam family "tRNA". From Rfam's summary of the family: Transfer RNA (tRNA) molecules are approximately 80 nucleotides in length. Their secondary structure includes four short double-helical elements and three loops (D, anti-codon, and T loops). Lineage: Eukaryota; Rhodophyta; Bangiophyceae; Bangiales; Bangiaceae. The record is from RNAcentral.
GACUAGGUAGCAUAGUGGUUAUGCGUAAGAUUGCAAAUCUUUUUUAGGCCAGUUCGAAUCUGGCCCUAGUUU